This 497-nucleotide ribosomal RNA is filed under the name uncultured bacterium. RNAcentral describes it as "partial 16S ribosomal RNA". It matches the Rfam family "Bacterial small subunit ribosomal RNA", at positions 28 to 507 of the family's 1533-position model. The record is from RNAcentral.
GAUGAACGCUGGCGGCGUGCCUAAUACAUGCAAGUCGAGCGGACGGACGAGAAGCUUGCUUCUCUGAUGUUAGCGGCGGACGGGUGAGUAACACGUGGAUAACCUCCCUAUAAGUCUGGGAUAACUUCGGGAAACCGGAGCUAAUACCGUAUAAUAUUUUGCACCGCAUGGUUCAAAAGUAAGAGACGGUCUUGCUGUCACUAAUCGAUGCAUCCGCGCUGCAUUAGCUAGUUGGUAAGGUAACGGCUUACCAAGGCAACGAUGCAUAGCCGACCUGAGAGGGUGAUCGGCCACACUGGAACUGAGACACGGUCCAUACUCCUACGGGAGGCAGCAGUAGGGAAUCUUCCGCAAUGGGCGAAAGCCUGACGGAGCAACGCCGCGUGAGUGAUGAAGGUCUUCGGAUCGUAAAACUCUGUUAUUAGGGAAGAACAUAUGUGUAAGUAACUGUGCACAUCGUGACGGUACCUAAUCAGAAAGCCACGGCUAACUACGUG